Molecule: ribosomal RNA, 200 nt
Filed under: uncultured Staphylococcus sp.
Lineage: Bacteria; Bacillati; Bacillota; Bacilli; Caryophanales; Staphylococcaceae
Description: partial 16S ribosomal RNA
Rfam family: Bacterial small subunit ribosomal RNA
Source: RNAcentral
GGGAUAACUUCGGGAAACCGGAGCUAAUACCGGAUAAUAUAUUGAACCGCAUGGUUCAAUAGUGAAAGACGGUUUUGCUGUCACUUAUAGAUGGAUCCGCGCCGCAUUAGCUAGUUGGUAAGGUAACGGCUUACCAAGGCAACGAUGCGUAGCCGACCUGAGAGGGUGAUCGGCCACACUGGAACUGAGACACGGUCCAG